CCUUCGAUAGCUCAGUUGGAAGAGCGUGGGACUGUAAUGGUUACAAACUGGCAUCCCAAGGUCACUGGUUCGAUCCCGGUUCGAAGGA
RNAcentral lists this transfer RNA (88 nucleotides) under Polyporus arcularius HHB13444. It matches the Rfam family "tRNA". From Rfam's summary of the family: Transfer RNA (tRNA) molecules are approximately 80 nucleotides in length. Their secondary structure includes four short double-helical elements and three loops (D, anti-codon, and T loops). Lineage: Eukaryota; Fungi; Basidiomycota; Agaricomycetes; Polyporales; Polyporaceae. The record is from Rfam by way of RNAcentral.